GCCUCCAGCUUCUUUAUCUUUGUGUCCUAAGCCUCUGGCUGAUCACAGCUCAAAUGACAGAAGUGCUGAAAAAAUACUUUGGAACAAUGCAAGGAAAAGGUGAAAUCCUGUACCCCAAAUCACAGCCUUUUGCCACCUCUCUUUUCCAGUUGGUCAAUGUCACAGCAAAUUCAGUGCCUUGGCCAAGUGCUUGGCACUUCUAAGUGUCUGAGAGUGGCAGGUCCCUGGGAAGAACUGGUGCCUCUAUCUAAGAUGCAGAAGCAUUGGCAGAGAAAUACAUAAUCCAACAUAUGUAUACUUGAAUUGCCCCAGAAUAAAGAUUAUUAAAUCUUAGAACAAAAACCAAAGAGAAGUAAAUCAGCCCUGUGUCCAAUACUUACAGCUAUUGUAACAACGGUGCGGUCUGCAAAAGCCGUCAUUACCACUUUCUG
This is a long non-coding RNA of Lontra canadensis (Northern American river otter), 431 nucleotides long. RefSeq lists it as uncharacterized. The transcript has 3 exons. NCBI's taxonomy places the organism in Eukaryota, Metazoa, Chordata, Mammalia, Carnivora, Mustelidae. The record is from RefSeq and is a predicted model, not a curated record.